GCAUUGGUUGUUCAGUGGUAGAAUUCUCACUUUCCAUGUGGGAGACCCAGGUUCGAUUCCCAGCCAAUGCA
Molecule: transfer RNA, 71 nt
Filed under: Loxodonta africana (African savanna elephant)
Lineage: Eukaryota; Metazoa; Chordata; Mammalia; Proboscidea; Elephantidae
Rfam family: tRNA
About the family: Transfer RNA (tRNA) molecules are approximately 80 nucleotides in length. Their secondary structure includes four short double-helical elements and three loops (D, anti-codon, and T loops).
Source: Rfam by way of RNAcentral